ACGAGUUGAAAAACUCCCUAAACCCACUGUGAACCUACCUGUUCGUUGCUUCGGCAGGCGGCCCCAGGGCGGGGCUGUGGCCUAUUUUAGGUGCCUGCCGAAGGUUUUAAACGCUUUUAUUGCUCCGAGUCGUCUGAGUUAAUAACAAAAUAAUCA
Molecule: unclassified non-coding RNA, 156 nt
Filed under: uncultured fungus
Lineage: Eukaryota; Fungi
Description: sequence contains ITS1
Source: RNAcentral